UAAACUAUAAGAAUUUUAAAUAAAAUGACCCGAAAUAAAAAGAUCAAAAAAGUUAUAGGAUUUUGAAUUAAAGUUAAAUAUGUAGUAUAAUAUAAACUUUAAUAACUUUUUAGAGGUGAUAUUCCAACAAUUUUUAUGAUAGCUGGAUUAAGGGGAAAAGUAUUAAGUACUUAAAACAAUUAUAAAGUGAUAAGAUUUUAUAAGUUAAAUAAGUUGUUUUUGAUUGACCAGGGUUAACCCCCUGAAAGUUCGUAAUUUCUAUCAUAUUUUAAAUAUAUUUUUUUAUGAUUACCCUUUAAACUAAAGUUAAUUAAGGCUUAAGUUUAUAAUGUUUAAAUUAGUAUUUUUAUGUAAAUUUUAUUAAGGAACUCGGCAAAUAUUAUAUUCGACUGUUUAACAAAAACAUAGUCCAUUGCUGUUUAUAAUGGAUAUAGCCUGCCCGGUGAUUUUUAUUUAACGGCCGCAGUACCUUGACUGUGCGAAGGUAGCAUAAUAAUUUGGCCUUUAAAUGGGGUCUAGAAUGAAAGGACUUACGAAUAGCAGCUGUCUUCACUUUAAUUAAAGAAAACUUAUUUAAAAGGUGCAAAUACCUUUAUAUUAAUAUAAUAGACGAGAAGACCCUUAGAAUUUAAUUUAAAAUAAAUAUUUUGUUUAUUUUGAUUUUGUUGGGGCAACAAAGCAGCAAGGUAUUUAAUCUGCUUUUGUUCAUAUCAUGGUAGGCCGACUAUUAGUAUGGAGAUGUAAAUUACCUUAGGGAUAACAGCAUAAUUUAAUAAAGAUUGUGACCUCGAUGUUGGAUUAGGGCCAUAAUAAUUUAACCAAUUAAUAUGUUAGUUCUGUUCGAA
This 845-nucleotide ribosomal RNA is filed under the name Chondrina calpica calpica. RNAcentral's name for it is "partial large subunit ribosomal RNA". The stretch from base 345 to 594 matches the Rfam family "Archaeal large subunit ribosomal RNA", at positions 1786 to 2143 of the family's 2987-position model. The record is from RNAcentral. Lineage: Eukaryota; Metazoa; Mollusca; Gastropoda; Stylommatophora; Chondrinidae.